RNAcentral lists this ribosomal RNA (274 nucleotides) under uncultured bacterium. RNAcentral describes it as "partial 16S ribosomal RNA". It matches the Rfam family "Bacterial small subunit ribosomal RNA", at positions 523 to 796 of the family's 1533-position model. The record is from RNAcentral.
AUACAGAGGGUGCGGGCGUUAAUCGGAAUUACUGGGCGUAAAGCGCGCGUAGGCGGCUUAUUAAGUCAGAUGUGAAAUCCCCGGGCUCAACCUGGGAACUGCAUCUGAUACUGGUAAGCUAGAGUUUGGGAGAGGGAAGUAGAAUUUCAGGUGUAGCGGUGAAAUGCAUAGAGAUCUGAAGGAAUACCAGUGGCGAAGGCGACUUCCUGGCCUAAAACUGACGCUGAGGUGCGAAAGCGUGGGUAGCAAACGGGAUUAGAAACCCCAGUAGUCC